RNAcentral lists this ribosomal RNA (378 nucleotides) under Triticum aestivum (bread wheat). Its description in RNAcentral is "partial small subunit ribosomal RNA". Lineage: Eukaryota; Viridiplantae; Streptophyta; Magnoliopsida; Poales; Poaceae. The record is from RNAcentral.
AUGAAACGUGCCGCUGGCGCGCCGCUGCCGCUCUUCCUCUGCAACCUUGGAUCGGACGGAGUCCCAUGGCGGUCGGGAAGUCAACGGACCUCGAACCCAAAGGGCCUCCACCUUGCAUCGUCACCAUCGCCUUCGAUCUGGACCUCAUCACCUGCAUCUUUCGAACUUUCAACAACAGGAGCCGCUGCCCACGGACUCCGGCACGGGAAAAAGGCGCACGGCAACUCCGCCGAGUUGCGAGCACCAGGAAGGAGGCGGGCAAGUGGUCGGACUCCGCAGAACCCCGCCACCGGAGAAGAUCACCGCCGCCACAAACCACCAGCCCGACAACGCCUUCCUCUCCAGGGCGCUGCCGGCGAACCACCCACUCCAUUCUAG